CGGCGGCCGUAACUAUAACGGUCCUAAGGUAGCGAAAUUCCUUGUCGGGCAAGUUCCGACCUGCACGAAUGGCAUAAUGAUGGCCACACUGUCUCCUCCUGAGACUCAGUGAAGUUGAAAUGUUUGUGAUGAUGCAAUCUCCCCGCGGCUAGACGGAAAGACCCCAUGAACCUUUACUGCAGCUUUGCAUUGGACUUUGAACCGAUCUGUGUAGGAUAGGUGGGAGGCAGUGAAGCUAGGACGCCAGUCUUAGCGGAGCCAACCUUGAAAUACCACCCUGAUUUGUUUGAGGUUCUAACCUAGGAGCGUGAUCCGCUUCGGGGACCGUGCAUGGCAGGCAGUUUGACUGGGGCGGUCUCCUCCUAAAGGGUAACGGAGGAGUGCGAAGGUACGCUAGGUACGGUCGGAAAUCGUGCUGAUAGUGCAAUGGCAAAAGCGUGCUUGACUGCGAGACCGACAAGUCGAGCAGAUACGAAAGUAGGUCAUAGUGAUCCGGUGGCUCUGUAUGGAAGGGCCAUCGCUCAACGGAUAAAAGGUACUCUGGGGAUAACAGGCUGAUACCGCCCAAGAGUUCAUAUCGACGGCGGUGUUUGGCACCUCGAUGUCGGCUCAUCUCAUCCUGGGGCUGUAGCCGGUCCCAAGGGUAUGGCUGUUCGCCAUUUAAAGAGGUACGUGAGCUGGGUUUAAAACGUCGUGAGACAGUUUUGUCCCUAUCUGCCGUGGGCGUUGGAAGAUUGACGGGGGCUGCUCCUAGUACGAGAGGACCGGAGUGGACUCACCUCUGGUGUACCGGUUGUCACGCCAGUGGCAUCGCCGGGUAGCUAUGUGGGGAAAGGAUAACCGCUGAAAGCAUCUAAGCGGGAAACCUGCCUGAAGAUAAGUCUUCCUGGAGGCUAGACCUCCCUGAAGAGUCGUUCGAGACCAGGACGUUGAUAGGUUGGAUGUGCAAGCGCUGUGAGGCGUUGAGCUGACCAAUACUAAUUGCUCGUGAAGCUUGAUCCU
RNAcentral lists this ribosomal RNA (1002 nucleotides) under human gut metagenome. Its description in RNAcentral is "bacterial LSU rRNA". It matches the Rfam family "Bacterial large subunit ribosomal RNA", at positions 1928 to 2925 of the family's 2925-position model. The record is from RNAcentral.